GAUGAACGCUAGCGGGAGGCCUAACACAUGCAAGCCGAGCGGUAGGUUUCCUUCGGGAGACUGAGAGCGGCGCACGGGUGCGGAACACGUGUGCAACCUGCCUUUAUCAGGGGGAUAGCCUUUCGAAAGGAAGAUUAAUACCCCAUAACAUUUUGAAUGGCAUCAUUUAAAAUUGAAAACUCCGGUGGAUAAAGAUGGGCACGCGCAGGAUUAGAUAGUUGGUAGGGUAACGGCCUACCAAGUCAACGAUCCUUAGGGGGCCUGAGAGGGUGAUCCCCCACACUGGUACUGAGACACGGACCAGACUCCUACGGGAGGCAGCAGUGAGGAAUAUUGGACAAUGGGUGAGAGCCUGAUCCAGCCAUCCCGCGUGAAGGACGACGGCCCUAUGGGUUGUAAACUUCUUUUGUAUAGGGAUAAACCUACUCUCGUGAGAGUAGCUGAAGGUACUAUACGAAUAAGCACCGGCUAACUCCGUGCCAGCAGCCGCGGUAAU
RNAcentral lists this ribosomal RNA (496 nucleotides) under uncultured bacterium. RNAcentral describes it as "bacterial SSU rRNA". It matches the Rfam family "Bacterial small subunit ribosomal RNA", at positions 28 to 524 of the family's 1533-position model. The record is from RNAcentral.